UUGCUCCCCCACGCUUUCGCACCUCAGUGUCAGUAUCAGUCCAGGUGGUCGCCUUCGCCACUGGUGUUCCUUCCUAUAUCUACGCAUUUCACCGCUACACAGGAAAUUCCACCACCCUCUACCGUACUCUAGCUCAGUAGUUUUGGAUGCAGUUCCCAGGUUGAGCCCGGGGAUUUCACAUCCAACUUGCUGAACCACCUACGCGCGCUUUACGCCCAGUAAUUCCGAUUAACGCUUGCACCCUUCGUAUUACCGCGGCUGCUGGCACGAAGUUAGCCGGUGCUUAUUCUGUUGGUAACGUCAAAACAGCAAGGUAUUAACUUACCGCCCUUCCUCCCAACUUAAAGUGCUUUACAAUCCGAAGACCUUCUUCACACACGCGGCAUGGCUGGAUCAGGCUUUCGCCCAUUGUCCAAUAUUCCCCACUGCUGCCUCCCGUAGGAGUCUGGACCGUGUCUCAGUUCCAGUGUGACUGAUCAUCCUCUCAGACCAGUUACGGAUCGUCGCCUUGGUAGGCCUUUACCCCACCAACUAGCUAAUCCGACCUAGGCUCAUCUGAUAGCGUGAGGUCCGAAGAUCCCCCACUUUCUCCCUCAGGACGUAUGCGGUAUUAGCGCCCGUUUCCGGACGUUAUCCCCCACUACCAGGCAGAUUCCUAGGCAUUACUCACCCGUCCGCCGCUGAAUCCAGGAGCAAGCUCCCUUCAUCCGCUCGACUUGCAUGUGUUAGGCCUGCCGCCAGCGUUCAAUCUGAGCCAGGAUCAAACCCUG
RNAcentral lists this ribosomal RNA (770 nucleotides) under uncultured bacterium. RNAcentral describes it as "partial 16S ribosomal RNA". The record is from RNAcentral.